AUUCCAGCUCCAAUAGCGUAUACUAAAGUUGCUGCAGUUAAAAAGCUCGUAGUUGGAUUUCUGGUCGUGGUCGCCGGUCGUGCCCAAACGGGUUCUGUACCUGGCGCCCGCGUCCAUCCUCGGGGAGAGCGUGUCUGGCAUUAAGUUGUCGGGCUCGGGACCCCCGUCAUUUACUGUGAGCAAAAUAGAGUGUUCAAAGCAGGCUUAGGCCAUGAAUACAUUAGCAUGGAAUAAUAAGAUAAGACCUUGGUCUAUUUUGUUGGUUUGCAUUCCAAGGUAAUGAUUAAUAGGGAUAGUUGGGGGUAUUCGUAUUCAAUUGUCAGAGGUGAAAUUCUUGGAUUUAUGGAAGACGAACUACUGCGAAAGCAUUUACCAAGGAUGUCUUCAUCG
Molecule: ribosomal RNA, 390 nt
Filed under: Chrysophyceae sp.
Lineage: Eukaryota; Chrysophyceae
Description: partial small subunit ribosomal RNA
Rfam family: Eukaryotic small subunit ribosomal RNA
Source: RNAcentral